AUGGCAGCUUCACUAGGCGGCAUGUUCUCUGGGCAGCCACCGGGUCCUCCACCACCCCAGCCGGGACUCCCAGGCCAGGCUUCACUUCUUCAAGCAGCGCCAGGCGCUCCGAGACCUUCUAACAGUACUUUGGUGGAUGAGUUGGAGUCAUCUUUCGAGGCUUGUUUUGCUUCUCUGGUGAGUCAGGACUAUGUCAAUGGCACUGAUCAGGAAGAAAUUCGAACUGGUGUUGAUCAGUGUAUCCAGAAAUUUCUGGAUAUUGCGAGACAGACAGAAUGUUUUUUUCUACAAAAAAGAUUGCAGUUAUCUGUCCAGAAACCAGAGCAAGUUAUCAAAGAGGAUGUCUCUGAGCUAAGGAAUGAAUUACAGCGGAAAGAUGCGCUGGUCCAGAAGCACUUGACGAAGCUGAGGCACUGGCAGCAGGUGUUGGAGGACAUCAGUGUGCAGCACAAAAAGCCAGUCGACAUCCCUCAGGGGUCCCUGGCCUACCUGGAACAGGCGUCGGCCACUAUCCCUGCACCUCUGAAGCCGACCUGAGGGAGGGUAUGCCAGAGUGCCAGCGGCCUUGGACAGCUUGCCACACAUUUCUCAAGGACAUGGGUGGCAUUUUAGAAGAACUCUUUGCCAGGGAAUGAGUUGAUUUUAGUUUUAUGCUCCCACCUAAAAUUUUACCACUAUUUUUA
This is an RNA transcript of Nycticebus coucang (slow loris), 683 nucleotides long. It is a transcript of the gene named mediator of RNA polymerase II transcription subunit 28-like, with no coding region annotated. NCBI's taxonomy places the organism in Eukaryota, Metazoa, Chordata, Mammalia, Primates, Lorisidae. The transcript has a single exon. The record is from RefSeq and is a predicted model, not a curated record.